GGGGGUGCAUGUUCCUUGGGGGCGACCGAUCCUUGCAAGAUUGGUGCGACGGGUUCGAUUCCCGCCACUUCCA
Molecule: transfer RNA, 73 nt
Filed under: Mycobacterium phage Phabba
Lineage: Duplodnaviria; Heunggongvirae; Uroviricota; Caudoviricetes
Description: tRNA-Ala
Source: RNAcentral